UCAAACUUGGUCAUUUAGAGGAAGUAAAAGUCGUAACAAGGUUUCCGUAGGUAUGUAUCAGUCUUUUCCAGGUCCUUUUCAUCACAAAUGCUAACAAACUUCUAGGUGAACCUGCGGAAGGAUCAUUAAUGGGAUUGGACCUUUUCGGUCUUAACCUUCAACCCAAUGUCUUUAUUACUUGAUUCUUUGAUGGGGAAACUCAUCAGAAGAUUUCUUGAACUCUUGUAACUUGAUCUCUGAAAUCAAAAAGAAAUAAUUAAAACUUUCAACAACGGAUCUCUUGGUUCUGGCAUCGAUGAAGAACGCAGC
RNAcentral lists this unclassified non-coding RNA (309 nucleotides) under uncultured fungus. Its description in RNAcentral is "partial contains small subunit ribosomal RNA, internal transcribed spacer 1, and 5.8S ribosomal RNA". The stretch from base 1 to 128 matches the Rfam family "Eukaryotic small subunit ribosomal RNA", at positions 1759 to 1831 of the family's 1831-position model. The record is from RNAcentral. Lineage: Eukaryota; Fungi.